CAUUCUUCCUCUAAACCUAUGUGUUUAGCUUGCUUAAAAUCAUAAAUCAAAUGGCAUGUAAUGGCCUUGUUUGAUAACUUUUUUUAAUAGUCUUUUCCCCCCUGAAUGUUUCUUCUAGAGCACAUCAUGUAUCCCAAAGUUCACAUUGCACUAAGAAUGUUAGGUCAUCUUCGACUGGGCGUUGUUCGGAUAUAUUCAAAGAAAGUCAACUAUCUGUACCAAGACUACAAUUUUUUUCUGAUAACCAUGAGAAAAGCAUUUGCUUCUGUAGAAGUUAAUCUGCCAGAAGAUGCAACUCAUGCACCUUUUGACUCUGUCACUUUGCCAAAACGUUCAAACUUGAUGCCUUGAAUUUGGAUGAUGACUUCUCUUAUGACGGGUAAUUUUCUGGCUACGUAUUGCACUUCCGCCUUUCUUUGAAUCUAUAGAUAACACUCGAUUUUUAAUUCUCAGGGCUUGAGAUAAUCAUCUCCAGAGCGAGGUGGAGAUAGCACUUACAUGUGGGAGCAAUAAUGGGAUCGCUGAUAACUACUGUUGUCAUUGCUCUCAAGGAUUUGUAUGCUGAAUUUGUUUUGGAUGAACUGAAGAAGAGUGAGACGUAGAGCGCUGCUGGGCAUGCUUUUAGUGCUUGUUUCCUGAGAAAUGUUCAUCACUGCCUCAAAAACGCGUGUACAUUAUUGGUUGAGCUAAUUAGAACCCAAAAAAGAAAUAUCAGAAUUGUUUGUUUUAGAGUGGAUGUGUUUUUACCAAUCUGUUGACAGUGCAUUUAUCAAGUUUUGUUGGCUGCAUUUUCUCUUUAGGACAGUCUUUUUGUUUUUGUUUUUGUUUUUUUUUCUUCUAUUUGGUGUAAAAAGUAAUAGAUCAAUCAUGUACUCCCUUGGUUGUUGGUUGUGUGCUC
Non-coding RNA from Camellia sinensis, 898 nucleotides. The record is from RefSeq and is a predicted model, not a curated record. NCBI's taxonomy places the organism in Eukaryota, Viridiplantae, Streptophyta, Magnoliopsida, Ericales, Theaceae.